Molecule: ribosomal RNA, 253 nt
Filed under: uncultured bacterium
Lineage: Bacteria
Description: partial 16S ribosomal RNA
Rfam family: Bacterial small subunit ribosomal RNA
Source: RNAcentral
UACGUAGGGUGCGAGCGUUGUCCGGAAUUAUUGGGCGUAAAGAGCGUGUAGGCGGCCAGAUAGGUCCGUUGUGAAAACUCGAGGCUCAACCUCGAGACGCCGAUGGAAACCAUCUGGCUAGAGUCCGGAAGAGGAGAGUGGAAUUCCUGGUGUAGCGGUGAAAUGCGCAGAUAUCAGGAAGAACACCCGUGGCUAAGGCGGCUCUCUAGUACGGUACUGACGCUGAGACGCGAAAGCGUGGGGAGCGAACAGG